AGCGUAGGCGGCGCGGUAAGUCAGAUGUGAAAUCCCGGGGCUCAACCCCGGAACUGCAUCCGAUACUGCCGUGCUCGAGGAUUGGAGAGGUAGCUGGAAUUCUUGGUGUAGCAGUGAAAUGCGUGGAUAUCAAGAGGAACACUCGUGGCGAAAGCGAGCUACUGGACAACUCCUGACGCUGAGGCUCGAAGGCCAGGGGAGCGAAAG
RNAcentral lists this ribosomal RNA (207 nucleotides) under uncultured bacterium. RNAcentral's name for it is "partial 16S ribosomal RNA". It matches the Rfam family "Bacterial small subunit ribosomal RNA", at positions 568 to 774 of the family's 1533-position model. The record is from RNAcentral.